AAUAUUAGGUGGAGCAACACUUGUGCGUGAAGUGGGUCAGGGGAGGAAUCCAGCAGCCCUAAGCGAUUUCGGGUGUGUGCUCUAUUUUUUCUUUUUAUG
This 99-nucleotide signal recognition particle RNA is filed under the name Streptococcus porcinus str. Jelinkova 176. RNAcentral describes it as "Bacterial signal recognition particle RNA". It matches the Rfam family "Bacterial small signal recognition particle RNA". From Rfam's summary of the family: The signal recognition particle (SRP) is a universally conserved ribonucleoprotein involved in the co-translational targeting of proteins to membranes. Lineage: Bacteria; Bacillati; Bacillota; Bacilli; Lactobacillales; Streptococcaceae. The record is from RNAcentral.